GCCUGAGUGGCUCAGUCAGUUAAGCAUCUGACUUUGGUUCAGGUCAUGAUCUCGCAGUUUGUGGGUUCAAGCCCCUCAUCAGGCU
RNAcentral lists this transfer RNA (85 nucleotides) under Felis catus (domestic cat). It matches the Rfam family "tRNA". Rfam says of the family: Transfer RNA (tRNA) molecules are approximately 80 nucleotides in length. The record is from Rfam by way of RNAcentral. Lineage: Eukaryota; Metazoa; Chordata; Mammalia; Carnivora; Felidae.